RNAcentral lists this ribosomal RNA (404 nucleotides) under Verrucomicrobiota bacterium. Its description in RNAcentral is "Verrucomicrobia bacterium partial 16S ribosomal RNA". It matches the Rfam family "Bacterial small subunit ribosomal RNA", at positions 355 to 776 of the family's 1533-position model. The record is from RNAcentral. Lineage: Bacteria; Pseudomonadati; Verrucomicrobiota.
UGGGGAAUAUUGGACAAUGGGCGCAAGCCUGAUCCAGCCAUGCCGCGUGAGUGAUGAAGGCCCUAGGGUUGUAAAGCUCUUUCACCGGUGAAGAUAAUGACGGUAACCGGAGAAGAAGCCCCGGCUAACUUCGUGCCAGCAGCCGCGGUAAUACGAAGGGGGCUAGCGUUGUUCGGAUUUACUGGGCGUAAAGCGCACGUAGGCGGACUAUUAAGUCAGGGGUGAAAUCCCGGGGCUCAACCCCGGAACUGCCUUUGAUACUGGUAGUCUUGAGAUCGGGAGAGGUGAGUGGAAUUCCGAGUGUAGAGGUGAAAUUCGUAGAUAUUCGGAGGAACACCAGUGGCGAAGGCGGCUCACUGGCUCGAUACUGACGCUGAGGUGCGAAAGCGUGGGGAGCAAACAGG